This 56-nucleotide transfer RNA is filed under the name Phytophthora infestans T30-4. It matches the Rfam family "tRNA", at positions 10 to 63 of the family's 71-position model. From Rfam's summary of the family: Transfer RNA (tRNA) molecules are approximately 80 nucleotides in length. Their secondary structure includes four short double-helical elements and three loops (D, anti-codon, and T loops). Further hydrogen bonds mediate the characteristic L-shaped molecular structure. tRNAs have two regions of fundamental functional importance: the anti-codon, which is responsible for specific mRNA codon recognition, and the 3' end, to which the tRNAs corresponding amino acid is attached (by aminoacyl-tRNA synthetases). tRNAs cope with the degeneracy of the genetic code in two manners: having more than one tRNA (with a specific anti-codon) for a particular amino acid; and 'wobble' base-pairing, i.e. permitting non-standard base-pairing at the 3rd anti-codon position. Lineage: Eukaryota; Oomycota; Peronosporomycetes; Peronosporales; Peronosporaceae. The record is from Rfam by way of RNAcentral.
UUUCAACUGGUAGAAAGUAUGUUUUGCAAAUAUAAGGUUAUCGGUUCGAAUCCGAU